RNAcentral lists this ribosomal RNA (497 nucleotides) under uncultured bacterium. RNAcentral describes it as "partial 16S ribosomal RNA". It matches the Rfam family "Bacterial small subunit ribosomal RNA", at positions 28 to 507 of the family's 1533-position model. The record is from RNAcentral.
GAUGAACGCUGGCGGCGUGCCUAAUACAUGCAAGUCGAGCGAACAGAUGAGGAGCUUGCUCCUCUGACGUUAGCGGCGGACGGGUGAGUAACACGUGGAUAACCUACCUAUAAGACUGGGAUAACUUCGGGAAACCGGAGCUAAUACCGGAUAAUAUAUUGAACCGCAUGGUUCAAUAGUGAAAGACGGUUUUGCCGUCACUUAUAGAUGGAUCCGCGCCGCAUUAGCUAGUUGGUAAGGUAACGGCUUACCAAGGCAACGAUGCGUAGCCGACCUGAGAGGGUGAUCGGCCACACUGGAACUGAGACACGGUCCAGACUCCUACGGGAGGCAGCAGUAGGGAAUCUUCCGCAAUGGGCGAAAGCCUGACGGAGCAACGCCGCGUGAGUGAUGAAGGUCUUCGGAUCGUAAAACUCUGUUAUUAGGGAAGAACAAAUGCGUAAGUAACUAUGCACGUCUUGACGGUACCUAAUCAGAAAGCCACGGCUAACUACGUG